RNAcentral lists this non-coding RNA (313 nucleotides) under Chlorovibrissea albofusca. Its description in RNAcentral is "partial 18S ribosomal RNA". The stretch from base 2 to 272 matches the Rfam family "Group I catalytic intron". Rfam says of the family: Group I catalytic introns are large self-splicing ribozymes. They catalyse their own excision from mRNA, tRNA and rRNA precursors in a wide range of organisms. Lineage: Eukaryota; Fungi; Ascomycota; Leotiomycetes; Helotiales; Vibrisseaceae. The record is from RNAcentral.
UCCUAGCGACUGUAAAGAAUAGGAAGCAGGUGGUAUCCUCUGGGAUACCGCAACACGAUCGAAUUGCGGGGACAUCCUUAAGCCUGCCGGUACCAACCGUCCGCGGAGACGCGGUCGGGGCCUGUGUUAACAGCACGGGAGGUCAUAACCCGGGAGGAUAGAGUGGAUAAUCCGCAGCGAAGCCCCGUCUGGGGACCGCUCACAGACUAGGUGGUCGUGGGUAGGGUCUUACCCUACUUAAGAUAUAGUCGGCCUCUUGGUGAAAGCUGGGAGAAUCAAGCGUUCCGUAGGUGAACCUGCGGAAGGAUCAUUA